UGCCAGCCGCCGCGGUAAUACGUAAGGACCGAGCGUUGUCCGGAAUCAUUGGGCGUAAAGGGUACGUAGGCGGGUUUUUAAGUUAGAAGUCAAAGGCUAUAGCUCAACUAUAGUAAGCUUCUAAAACUGGGGACCUUGAGUAAUGGAAGGGAAAGUGGAAUUCCUAGUGUAGCGGUGGAAUGCGCAGAUAUUAGGAGGAAUACCGGUGGCGAAGGCGACUUUCUGGCCAUUAACUGACGCUGAGGUACGAAAGCGUGGGUAGCAAACAGGAUUAGAUA
Molecule: ribosomal RNA, 278 nt
Filed under: uncultured bacterium
Lineage: Bacteria
Description: partial 16S ribosomal RNA
Rfam family: Bacterial small subunit ribosomal RNA
Source: RNAcentral